UCGUUGGGAGUGGACAGUCUGAACUCGACUACGGAUCAGAAGGUUGGGGGUUCGAAUCCCUCCGAGCGCGCCA
Molecule: transfer RNA, 73 nt
Filed under: Kribbella solani
Lineage: Bacteria; Bacillati; Actinomycetota; Actinomycetes; Propionibacteriales; Kribbellaceae
Description: tRNA-OTHER
Source: RNAcentral